This 559-nucleotide unclassified non-coding RNA is filed under the name Penicillium meleagrinum var. viridiflavum. RNAcentral describes it as "sequence contains ITS1, 5.8S rRNA gene and ITS2". The stretch from base 182 to 335 matches the Rfam family "5.8S ribosomal RNA". The record is from RNAcentral. Lineage: Eukaryota; Fungi; Ascomycota; Eurotiomycetes; Eurotiales; Aspergillaceae.
UUACUGAGUGAGGGCCCCUNNNGGGUCCAACCUCCCACCCGUGUUUAACGAACCUUUGUUGCUUCGGCGGGCCCGCCUCACGGCCGCCGGGGGGCUCCUGCCCCCGGGCCCGCGCCCGCCGAAGCCCCCCCUUGAACGCUGUCUGAAGUUUGCAGUCUGAGAAACUAGCUAAAUUAGUUAAAACUUUCAACAACGGAUCUCUUGGUUCCGGCAUCGAUGAAGAACGCAGCGAAAUGCGAUAACUAAUGUGAAUUGCAGAAUUCAGUGAAUCAUCGAGUCUUUGAACGCACAUUGCGCCCUCUGGUAUUCCGGAGGGCAUGCCUGUCCGAGCGUCAUUGCUGCCCUCAAGCACGGCUUGUGUGUUGGGCCCCCGUCCCCCCCUCUGCCGGGGGGACGGGCCCGAAAGGCAGCGGCGGCACCGCGUCCGGUCCUCGAGCGUAUGGGGCUUCGUCACCCGCUCUUGUAGGCCCGGCCGGCGCCAGCCGACCCCAACCCUAAAUUUUUUUCAGGUUGACCUCGGAUCAGGUAGGGAUACCCGCUGAACUUAAGCAUAUCAAUA